Molecule: ribosomal RNA, 466 nt
Filed under: uncultured bacterium
Lineage: Bacteria
Description: partial 16S ribosomal RNA
Rfam family: Bacterial small subunit ribosomal RNA
Source: RNAcentral
CGAACGCUGGCGGCGUGCUUACCACAUGCAAGUCGAACGGAAAGGCCCUGCUUUUGUGGGGUGCUCGAGUGGCGAACGGGUGAGUAACACGUGAGUAACCUGCCCUUGACUUUGGGAUAACUUCAGGAAACUGGGGCUAAUACCGGAUAGGAGCUCCUGCUGCAUGGUGGGGGUUGGAAAGUUUCGGCGGUUGGGGAUGGACUCGCGGCUUAUCAGCUUGUUGGUGGGGUAGUGGCUUACCAAGGCUUUGACGGGUAGCCGGCCUGAGAGGGUGACCGGCCACAUUGGGACUGAGAUACGGCCCAGACUCCUACGGGAGGCAGCAGUGGGGAAUAUUGCACAAUGGGCGGAAGCCUGAUGCGGCAACGCCGCGUGCGGGAUGACGGCCUUCGGGUUGUAAACCGCUUUCGCCUGUGACGAAGCGUGAGUGACGGUAAUGGGUAAAGAAGCACCGGCUAACUACGUG